UGGGGUAUCGCCAAGCGGUAAGACGCGGAUUCUGAUUCCGGCAUUCCGAGGUUCGAAUCCUCGUACCCCAGCCA
RNAcentral lists this transfer RNA (74 nucleotides) under Escherichia coli. Its description in RNAcentral is "tRNA-Gln". It matches the Rfam family "tRNA". Rfam says of the family: Transfer RNA (tRNA) molecules are approximately 80 nucleotides in length. Their secondary structure includes four short double-helical elements and three loops (D, anti-codon, and T loops). Lineage: Bacteria; Pseudomonadati; Pseudomonadota; Gammaproteobacteria; Enterobacterales; Enterobacteriaceae. The record is from RNAcentral.